CAGGCUGGUCUCAAACUCCCAACCUCACGUGAUCUGCCCCACCUCGGCCUCCCAAAGUGCUGAGAUUACAGGCAUGAGCCACUGUGCCCAGCCUGAAUCUUUUUAUGUUUAUUGUCUGUGGAUUUUGUUUCAUUCUUACGAAUGCCCUCCUUAUUCCAUGACUAUAAAAUAUUUGCUAAUGGUUUCCUGUGGUAUGGUUUGAGUUUUCUUUUUUUCAUUUAAAUGUUUGAUGUUCCUGAGGUGUGAUUCGAUUUAGGUUGUUAGGUAUAGUUCAAAUGAAUUUUUAUUAUUUUUAUUAUUUUACAUAUAUAUUUAAGUCUAAUUUUACUGUUUUUUGUUGUUGUUAUUGUUGUUGUUGUUGUUGGAGACAGAGCCUCACUCUGCCACCCAAGCUGGAGUGCAGUGGUGUGAUCAUAGCUCACUGCAGCCUCAAAUUCCUGGGCUCCAGUUAUCUUCCCACCUCAGUCUCCUGAGCAGCUGGGACUACAGGCAUGUGGACCACUAUGCCUGGCCAAUUUUUUAAUUUUUAUUUUUGUGGAAACAAGGUCUCACCGUCUUGCCCAAGCUGAUCUCAAGCUCCUUGGCUCAAGCGAUCCUCCCUCUUUGGCCUCCCAAAGUGCUGGGAUUACAGGUGUGACCUAUUGCACCUGGCCUCAAAUGGAUUUUUAAUAGGUUAACCUGUUUAUUCCAAUGGUAAUUCAAUCCUUGAUUGAGUAAUCCGCCUUUUCCACAGUAAUCUGAAUUGUCCCCUUUAUUAAAUAUUAAAUUUCUAUGCAUAUAUGUGGGUGUAUUUUUGGUUUUCUGUUCUAUUUCAUUGAUUGGUUUUUUCAUGCAUUAAUAAAACUGCAGCCUUUUAUUUAUUGAAGUAUUGUGCUAUUUAGUACAUGGAUAGGACUAAGCCUUUUUCAUGCGUGUUUUUUGUAGAGCUUGUAGUUUAGGAAUCAUUUUAAAAUUUUUAUAUGGUUUAACCCGGGAGGCAGAGGUUGCAGUGAGCUGAGAUUUUGCCACUACACUCCAACCUGGGCAACAGAGCGAGACUCCAUUCCAAAAAAAUAAGAAAAAGAAAAACAGAAAAAUAAUAAUUACAUCUGCAAAGACCUUAUUUCCAGCAGGCAAGAAGAACCUGUUGGAUGAUUCCAACAUUGCUGGAUUGAUAGCAGCCUCAUCUGCCAGGCUCAAACUCCAG
Molecule: non-coding RNA, 1186 nt
Filed under: Pongo abelii (Sumatran orangutan)
Lineage: Eukaryota; Metazoa; Chordata; Mammalia; Primates; Hominidae
Source: RNAcentral